GGAUCCAAUUAUACUAGCGUUAAUACCCCAUCCCAUCAGAACUCCAAAGCUAAGCAUUCCUGACGAGAGUAGAACUAGGAUGGGUGAUCCCCUAUGAAGUCCUAGUGUUGCGUUCC
RNAcentral lists this ribosomal RNA (116 nucleotides) under Nicotiana sylvestris (wood tobacco). Lineage: Eukaryota; Viridiplantae; Streptophyta; Magnoliopsida; Solanales; Solanaceae. The record is from RNAcentral.